UUCUCCUGAAGAUUUUAGUCAUUUAAACCAUUUCACCAAUGCAUUCACCAGGUGAGGAAUUCGGUCAAAUUGAAAAGGAUCAUGCAAACUAUUCUUUCUCUGGGAAAUGCUUUGAACCAAGGAACUGCUAGGGGUUCUGCUGUUGGUUUUCGGUUGGAUAGUCUCCUUAAACUCACAGAUACACGAGCUCGGAAUAAAAAGAUGACUCUCAUGCAUUAUCUUUGUAAGGUCCUGAGCCAAAAGUUGCCAGAAUUAAUAGAU
Hibiscus syriacus is the source of this 261-nucleotide long non-coding RNA. RefSeq lists it as uncharacterized. The transcript is spliced from 3 exons. Lineage: Eukaryota; Viridiplantae; Streptophyta; Magnoliopsida; Malvales; Malvaceae. The record is from RefSeq and is a predicted model, not a curated record.